This 319-nucleotide ribosomal RNA is filed under the name Pentatrichomonas hominis. Its description in RNAcentral is "partial small subunit ribosomal RNA". The record is from RNAcentral. Lineage: Eukaryota; Parabasalia; Trichomonadida; Trichomonadidae.
AUGACGAGGACCCUCCUAUUAUUUCGCUUUCCUUGAGCGGGUCUCAUGAUUAAUCACUGAAUGUGGUGGCCCCUUUCACUUAUAAAAACGCUAUAUAAUGUUUUUAAUAUCUGGAGAUGGGAAGAUUGUGUCAGAUUCAUUAUUGUACGUUGUUACCACAUUGCAGACUAUGCAUUAUAAAAACCACUCAUGGAACGCGAUAUUUAUAGGAGGCGUUUUUCGAGGCAAACCAAGUACCAAAAAUGAUCCUCCCGCCUGGUCACCUCAAGAGAACCCGCUGAACUGAAGCAUCUCAAUAAGCGGAGGAAAAGAAACUAAA